Molecule: non-coding RNA, 271 nt
Filed under: Clostridium sp.
Lineage: Bacteria; Bacillati; Bacillota; Clostridia; Eubacteriales; Clostridiaceae
Source: RNAcentral
UUGAAUACGGUGGUUUUAGGUAUUUUUAUUUAAAAGGGAAAGUGGUGAAAAUCCGCUGCAGCCCCCGCUACUGUAUACGGGAACAAAUCCAUAAUUGCCACUGGCAUUUUAUAUAAUUUUAAUUAGUAAUUCAUUAGUCGUUCUUAUAAAAUUUUGAAGUUUCUAAGAAUUUUGUGAGAAAUAAAUAAUUUACUUUAAAAUUUAUAUAGCUGGGAAGGUUGGAGGAGAAUGAUCCGUGAGUCAGGAGACCUGCCUAAAAUAACAGUAUUGC